Molecule: ribosomal RNA, 466 nt
Filed under: uncultured bacterium
Lineage: Bacteria
Description: partial 16S ribosomal RNA
Rfam family: Bacterial small subunit ribosomal RNA
Source: RNAcentral
GAUGAACGCUGGCGGCGUGCUUAACACAUGCAAGUCGAACGAUGAAGCCCAGCUUGCUGGGUGGAUUAGUGGCGAACGGGUGAGUAACACGUGAGUAACCUGCCCUUAACUCUGGGAUAAGCCUGGGAAACUGGGUCUAAUACCGGAUAGGAGCGUCCACCGCAUGGUGGGUGUUGGAAAGAUUUAUCGGUUUUGGAUGGACUCGCGGCCUAUCAGCUUGUUGGUGGGGUAAUGGCUCACCAAGGCGACGACGGGUAGCCGGCCUGAGAGGGUGACCGGCCACACUGGGACUGAGACACGGCCCAGACUCCUACGGGAGGCAGCAGUGGGGAAUAUUGCACAAUGGGCGGAAGCCUGAUGCAGCGACGCCGCGUGAGGGAUGACGGCCUUCGGGUUGUAAACCUCUUUCAGUAGGGAAGAAGCGAAAGUGACGGUACCUGCAGAAGAAGCACCGGCUAACUACGUG